Molecule: long non-coding RNA, 461 nt
Organism: Bombyx mori (domestic silkworm)
Lineage: Eukaryota; Metazoa; Arthropoda; Insecta; Lepidoptera; Bombycidae
Exons: 2
Source: RefSeq, a predicted model, not a curated record
UUCGGCAAACUGUAACCUCUUUUCUCAUAUUCUGUUCUGUUCCCUUUUCAUAUAAUAUCUCAAUUAUAAUACUUUUUUCCAACAAUGUCAAGGCCGGUCUCGUUACAUCGAUUCAAUUGUCAUAAUAAUUCGAUGUAAUUAUAAUAAUGAUCACGAUUUCGUUUGUCAUGAAAUGAUAAUUACAAUAGCGUUUACGAGAUCGUUAUGAAGAGCUGUUCAUAUUUUUGUGUUCGUUUGAUGACUUUCAUACGACGCUAGAUUCUACAGUUUUUACUCUAUUUUAAAUUUAUUAACUGAGAAACAAACAACGUGUAGUGUCGAGGCUGUGUCGCUGGAAGAAAAACAAUUUAUCUCGUCACGAUACCAAUAUUUUCAUAAGAUCGCCGCACCUGCUAUUGGUCUGUGAUGACAUCUAUCUACAACAAAAAAAUAAAGUAGCUACUACAAUUAUAUUAAAUCUA